UACGGAGGGGGCUAGCGUUGUUCGGAAUUACUGGGCGUAAAGCGCACGUAGGCGGCUUUGCAAGUUAGAGGUGAAAGCCCGGAGCUUAACUCCGGAAUUGUCUUUAAAACUGCAUCGCUAGAAUUGUGGAGAGGUGAGUGGAAUUCCGAGUGUAGAGGUGAAAUUCGUAGAUAUUCGGAAGAACACCAGUGGCGAAGGCGACUCACUGGACACAUAUUGACGCUGAGGUGCGAAAGCGUGGGGAGCAAACAGG
This 253-nucleotide ribosomal RNA is filed under the name uncultured bacterium. RNAcentral describes it as "partial 16S ribosomal RNA". It matches the Rfam family "Bacterial small subunit ribosomal RNA", at positions 524 to 776 of the family's 1533-position model. The record is from RNAcentral.